Molecule: transfer RNA, 54 nt
Filed under: Pituna poranga
Lineage: Eukaryota; Metazoa; Chordata; Actinopteri; Cyprinodontiformes; Rivulidae
Description: tRNA-Cys
Source: RNAcentral
GCCUUGUAUAUUUAGAUUGCAAAUCCAAAUACGUCAAUAGUAUGACCGGGGCUU